CCUGCGGAAGGAUCAUUACCGAGUGCGGGUCCUUUGGGCCCAACCUCCCAUCCGUGUCUAUUGUACCCUGUUGCUUCGGCGGGCCCGCCGCUUGUCGGCCGCCGGGGGGGCGCCUCUGCCCCCCGGGCCCGUGCCCGCCGGAGACCCCAACACGAACACUGUCUGAAAGCGUGCAGUCUGAGUUGAUUGAAUGCAAUCAGUUAAAACUUUCAACAAUGGAUCUCUUGGUUCCGGCAUCGAUGAAGAACGCAGCGAAAUGCGAUAACUAAUGUGAAUUGCAGAAUUCAGUGAAUCAUCGAGUCUUUGAACGCACAUUGCGCCCCCUGGUAUUCCGGGGGGCAUGCCUGUCCGAGCGUCAUUGCUGCCCUCAAGCCCGGCUUGUGUGUUGGGUCGCCGUCCCCCUCUCCGGGGGGACGGGCCCGAAAGGCAGCGGCGGCACCGCGUCCGAUCCUCGAGCGUAUGGGGCUUUGUCACAUGCUCUGUAGGAUUGGCCGGCGCCUGCCGACGUUUUCCAACCAUUCUUUCCAGGUUGACCUCGGAUCAGGUAGGGAUACCCGCUGAACUUAAGCAUAUCAA
This 576-nucleotide ribosomal RNA is filed under the name Aspergillus niger. Its description in RNAcentral is "eukaryotic LSU rRNA". The stretch from base 205 to 358 matches the Rfam family "5.8S ribosomal RNA". The record is from RNAcentral. Lineage: Eukaryota; Fungi; Ascomycota; Eurotiomycetes; Eurotiales; Aspergillaceae.